RNAcentral lists this unclassified non-coding RNA (21 nucleotides) under Chlamydomonas reinhardtii. RNAcentral's name for it is "small RNA Cre_3046". Lineage: Eukaryota; Viridiplantae; Chlorophyta; Chlorophyceae; Chlamydomonadales; Chlamydomonadaceae. The record is from RNAcentral.
UGCCAGGGGGGACGGUGGAGC